This 468-nucleotide ribosomal RNA is filed under the name uncultured bacterium. RNAcentral describes it as "partial 16S ribosomal RNA". It matches the Rfam family "Bacterial small subunit ribosomal RNA", at positions 28 to 507 of the family's 1533-position model. The record is from RNAcentral.
GACGAACGCUGGCGGCGUGCUUAACACAUGCAAGUCGAACGGAAAGGCCCUGCUUUUGUGGGGUGCUCGAGUGGCGAACGGGUGAGUAACACGUGAGUAACCUGCCCUUGACUUUGGGAUAACUUCAGGAAACUGGGGCUAAUACCGGAUAGGAGCUCCUGCUGCAUGGUGGGGGUUGGAAAGUUUCGGCGGUUGGGGAUGGACUCGCGGCUUAUCAGCUUGUUGGUGGGGUAGUGGCUUACCAAGGCUUUGACGGGUAGCCGGCCUGAGAGGGUGACCGGCCACAUUGGGACUGAGAUACGGCCCAGACUCCUACGGGAGGCAGGAGUGGGGAAUAUUGCACAGUGGGCGGAAGCCUGAUGCAGCAACGCCGCGUGCGGGAUGACGGCCUUCGGGUUGUAAACCGCUUUCGCCUGUGACGAAGCGUGAGUGACGGUAAUGGGUAAAGAAGCACCGGCUAACUACGUG